GUCUUUAUAGUCUAAAGGUUAUGACAUUACCCUUUCACGGUAAAAAUACGAGUUCAAAUCUCGUUAAAGAUA
RNAcentral lists this transfer RNA (72 nucleotides) under Coscinodiscus granii. RNAcentral describes it as "tRNA-Glu". It matches the Rfam family "tRNA". Rfam says of the family: Transfer RNA (tRNA) molecules are approximately 80 nucleotides in length. Their secondary structure includes four short double-helical elements and three loops (D, anti-codon, and T loops). Further hydrogen bonds mediate the characteristic L-shaped molecular structure. tRNAs have two regions of fundamental functional importance: the anti-codon, which is responsible for specific mRNA codon recognition, and the 3' end, to which the tRNAs corresponding amino acid is attached (by aminoacyl-tRNA synthetases). tRNAs cope with the degeneracy of the genetic code in two manners: having more than one tRNA (with a specific anti-codon) for a particular amino acid; and 'wobble' base-pairing, i.e. permitting non-standard base-pairing at the 3rd anti-codon position. Lineage: Eukaryota; Bacillariophyta; Coscinodiscophyceae; Coscinodiscales; Coscinodiscaceae. The record is from RNAcentral.